This 2546-nucleotide small RNA is filed under the name Pan troglodytes (chimpanzee). Its description in RNAcentral is "retained intron". The record is from RNAcentral. Lineage: Eukaryota; Metazoa; Chordata; Mammalia; Primates; Hominidae.
CAUAAAAGUGAGAAAGAUCAAGCUGGACUUGAGCCACUGGCCCUCAGGCUCAGCAGGGAGCUGCAGGAGAAGGAGAAAGUGAUUGAAGUCCUGCAGGCCAAGCUGGAUGCUCGGUCCCUCACACCCUCCAGCAGCCAUGCCUUGUCUGACUCCCACCGCUCUCCCAGCAGCACCUCUUUCCUGUCUGAUGAGCUGGAAGCCUGCUCUGACAUGGACAUAGUCAGCGAGUACACACACUAUGAAGAGAAGAAAGCUUCUCCCAGUCACUCAGAUUCCAUCCAUCAUUCGAGUCCUUCUGCUGUGUUGUCUUCUAAACCAUCAUCAACCAGUGCAUCUCAGGGGGCUAAGGCCGAAUCCAACAGCAACCCCAUCAGCUUGCCAACUCCCCAGAAUACCCCCAAGGAGGCCAACCAGGCCCAUUCAGGUGCCAGCACUGUUCCUCCUGCUUCCACAGCUACAUUGCUGAGCAACGACUUGGAAGCCGACCCUUCCUACUACCUCAACUCUGCCCAGCCUCACUCUCCUCCAAGGGGCACCAUAGAACUGGGAAGAAUCCUAGAGCCUGGGUACCUGGGCAGCAGUGGCAAGUGGGAUGUGAUAAGGCCUCAGAAAGGGAGUGUAUCUGGGGACCUAUCCUCAGGCUCCUCUGUGUACCAACUUAACUCCAAACCCACAGGGGCUGACCUGCUGGAAGAGCAUCUUGGUGAAAUCCGGAACCUGCGCCAGCGCCUGGAGGAGUCCAUCUGCAUCAAUGACCGCCUACGGGAGCAACUGGAACACCGGCUGAGCUCUACUGCUCGUGGAAGGGGAUCCACUUCUAACUUCUACAGUCAGGGUCUGGAGUCCAUACCUCAGCUCUGCAGUGAGAACAGAGUCCUCAGGGAAGAAAAUCGAAGACUUCAGGCUCAACUGAGUCAUGUUUCCAGAGAGCACUCCCAGGAAACAGAAAGCCUGAGGGAGGCUCUGCUGUCCUCUCGAUCCCACCUUCAAGAGCUGGAAAAGGAGCUGGAGCACCAGAAGGUGGAAAGGCAGCAGCUUUUGGAAGACUUGAGGGAGAAGCAGCAAGAGGUCUUGCAUUUCAGGGAGGAACGUCUUUCCCUCCAGGAAAACGACUCCAGGUAAGAGGGGAACCAUUGACAGAGAAGGUAGCAUUCUUCAUUCUUACAUUCAUUCUUACAUUACAAGAGGAAGGGAUAUUGGCAAGACAAUUGAUGUCCUCUUUUGGAAACCUAAAUGUUCCCUCUGCUAUUCCUGAUUUUUGUGUGUCAGUGGGGUGGGGGGAGGGGCGCUUUGAGCAGAAGAAAGGACUUCUCUGGGAAUGCCUUGUCACUCCCAAGUUGAGAGAGUAAAACUCUGUUAUAGAAGUCUUCAGUAUAUCAGAGACAUGAAAAAGAAGGGUUCCCAUGCUUCCAAUUAGAUAUAGGACAUUAGUCUCACCAUCACCUAGGAAGCUUCUAUACUGGCUGUGAUGCUUGGUCCCAGCAUAAGCCCUGUAACUGCUUGUCAGGAUGCAAAGAGCACUGUAGGAGCAGUAAGGAGACUGUGCUGGUGUGUCUGUUCUGCUCUGAACUAAUGUAGGUAAUGGUGUGUUUUCAAGCAAAGUUACUUGACCUCCCUCAGCCUCCAUUUCCAUAUCUGUGAAAUAAAAGUGAUAGUCUUCAUGACCCCCUGAGUUGACAUCUGGGGCUCAGAUGUAACCCUAACCGUAACCCUUUUUGACCCUCUGAGUUGACAUCUGGCUCUCAGCUUGUUGCUCUGGUGUGGCUGAGUGGCUCUGCCAUCUCAGUGGGCCUUGCCUCUCCCUGGUCAGACUGCAGCACAAGCUGGUUCUCCUGCAGCAACAGUGUGAAGAGAAACAGCAGCUCUUUGAGUCCCUCCAGUCAGAGCUACAAAUCUACGAGGCACUUUAUGGCAAUUCCAAGAAGGGGCUGAAAGGUAUGUGUUCUUCUCCCCUCACCCCAUGAGCUUUUUGCCCUUGCAUAGGAUGCUAGUGAGGUCUUUCCUUUGGGAGUUGUGGAGAUCAUGGGAAGCUACAGAGUUCUGUUGCAGAAACCCCCACCCGAGCCUGGGGCUCCCAGUAGGAGCUCUCAAACACAAAGCCCAGUGGGACAGGUUGGUGGCACGAGCAAGAUCUGGCCUGAUCAUUCCUAAUUACUUUAAGAAAAUCUAGACAUUCCUAUCAAUGUCUAGAUUGUAACAUUUUUGAAAGCAAAAGAACUGUCCUAAUGAUAUCAUCAUUUGAAAAGGCCUUUAAUAUUGUUGGUAAUACAUACUGACAACCCAUUCAGCCCAAUGCAACAGGCAGUCUGCUCCCACCCUGACCCUUUCCCUAGUGACAUCUGGCUCUCAGCUUAUUGCCCUUUCAUGUAAUUUUCAUAAAUCCUGAUUUAGUUUCCUGAUUUUCUAAAGAGAAGGUGAACUGGAAUUUGAAGAAAUACAGGGGCUUACCAGGCUGGGCGAAUAGCUUAAGUACAAAGUCAUGGUGAGUGUUGAGUCAGUGGGGACCAGCCUGCCCACAGGAGAAAAUUAAGACACAAAAACAAAAA